CCUACGGGUGGCAGCAGUGGGUAAUAUUGGACAAUGGGGUGAACCCUGAUCCAGCCAUGCCGCGUGUGUGAAGAAGGCCCUCGGGUUGUAAAGCACUUUCAGUGAGGAAGAACGCCUGGUGGUUAAUACCCAUCAGGAAAGACAUCACUCACAGAAGAAGCACCGGCUAACUCCGUUCCAGCAGCCGCGGUAAUACGGAGGGUGCGAGCGUUAAUCGGAAUUACUGGGCGUAAAGCGCGCGUAGGUGGCUUGAUAAGCCGGUUGUGAAAGCCCCGGGCUCAACCUGGGAACGGCAUCCGGAACUGUCAAGCUAGAGUGCAGGAGAGGAAGGUAGAAUUCCCGGUGUAGCGGUGAAAUGCGUAGAGAUCGGGAGGAAUACCAGUGGCGAAGGCGGCCUUCUGGACUGACACUGACACUGAGGUGCGAAAGCGUGGGUAGCAAACAGGAUUAGAUACCCGAGUAGUC
RNAcentral lists this ribosomal RNA (465 nucleotides) under Vreelandella stevensii. RNAcentral describes it as "partial 16S ribosomal RNA". It matches the Rfam family "Bacterial small subunit ribosomal RNA", at positions 338 to 795 of the family's 1533-position model. Lineage: Bacteria; Pseudomonadati; Pseudomonadota; Gammaproteobacteria; Oceanospirillales; Halomonadaceae. The record is from RNAcentral.